AUGAUGUCCCUCUCAAGAAUCUGUGUCUCUCAAAAUACAAGGGGAAGAAGAAGAAUGAACAUUAAUUACUACAUCGACAAAACAAAAAGAAUGCAUCGCUGUUCAAUAAAUAACCAAAAGGUGAGGAAGAAAAAGAUUUGCAGUGAGCAAUUAUGCAGCAAAAAGCUCCAUGCUACUUGAUCCUAAAACAAAGAGACCAGAAAUAUGUAGUAUGAUCUUCUUGAGCAGAGUGAUCAUGGUCUGUUUUCCAAUUUCAGAGCAGCAAAAGAAUGGUGAAGAGAAUAGCCAGAUUUGACAGGAACAAGCAUACAGCAAUUUUAGGUUGUGCAUUUGGUGAUGCUGGAGCUGCUGCAGUUCCACUACCUGAAGUUCCACUACCUGAAGUUCCACUACCUGGGCUAGAAGAUGGACCUCUCG
This 417-nucleotide long non-coding RNA is filed under the name Jatropha curcas. Its description in RNAcentral is "long non-coding RNA (JCUR_LNC001128)". Lineage: Eukaryota; Viridiplantae; Streptophyta; Magnoliopsida; Malpighiales; Euphorbiaceae. The record is from RNAcentral.